Molecule: ribosomal RNA, 315 nt
Filed under: uncultured eukaryote
Lineage: Eukaryota
Description: partial 18S ribosomal RNA
Rfam family: Eukaryotic small subunit ribosomal RNA
Source: RNAcentral
CCCUUAGAUGUUCUGGGCUGCACGCGCGCUACACUGACGCACGCAACAGGUGCCUGCUCCGAGAGGACUGGGUAAUCAUUUGAGUGUGCGUCGUGAUGGGGAUAGAAUAUUGUAAUUAUUACUCUUCAACGAGGAAUUCCUAGUAAGCGCCAGUCAGCAGCUUGCGCUGAUUACGUCCCUGCCCUUUGUACACACCGCCCGUCGCUCCUACCGAUGGGUGAUCCGGUGAAUGAUUCGGACUUCAGCGGCUCCCCUGGGGUGCGCCGGAGAAAGCUUUGUGAACCUUAUCACUUGGAGGAAGGAGAAGUCGUAACA